Molecule: ribosomal RNA, 482 nt
Filed under: uncultured bacterium
Lineage: Bacteria
Description: partial 16S ribosomal RNA
Rfam family: Bacterial small subunit ribosomal RNA
Source: RNAcentral
AUUGAACGCUGGCGGCAUGCCUUACACAUGCAAGUCGAACGGUAACGGGCCUUCGGGUGCCGACGAGUGGCGAACGGGUGAGUAAUACAUCGGAACGUGCCCGAUCGUGGGGGAUAACGAGGCGAAAGCUUUGCUAAUACCGCAUACGAUCUACGGAUGAAAGCAGGGGACCGCAAGGCCUUGCGCGGGCGGAGCGGCCGAUGGCAGAUUAGGUAGGUGGUGGGAUAAAAGCUUACCAAGCCGACGAUCUGUAGCUGGUCUGAGAGGAUGAUCAGCCACACUGGGACUGAGACACGGCCCAGACUCCUACGGGAGGCAGCAGUGGGGAAUUUUGGACAAUGGGCGCAAGCCUGAUCCAGCCAUGCCGCGUGCAGGAUGAAGGCCUUCGGGUUGUAAACUGCUUUUGUACGGAACGAAAAGCCUUCUUUUAAUACAGGAGGGUCAUGACGGUACCGUAAGAAUAAGCACCGGCUAACUACGUG